This 780-nucleotide long non-coding RNA is filed under the name Bos taurus (domestic cattle). RNAcentral describes it as "long non-coding RNA NONBTAT024713". Lineage: Eukaryota; Metazoa; Chordata; Mammalia; Artiodactyla; Bovidae. The record is from RNAcentral.
CCAGGAUUCUUGGGCUGUGCAAGGACGUCUGAUAAAUUGGAGUCUCCCUUUAGAUAUCCUGCCUUACCUAAACUUAAUGCAGUCAGUGGGCCAGUAAUCUCUUUAUGAGAUUUCCUCAUGAGUCUUCUCAUGAAAGGCUUCCUCUUCUAAUGUCUUAAGCAUCAAGGCCUAAGCUGGAGUUCUGGACAGAGGACCUCUAUCAUCAGUAUGACAUACUGGAGUAUUUCAGAGUUGGUAUUUUGCAGAGUCCUAUUAAAGUAGAUAGGUUCUAAAAGUAAUUCCAGAAUACACAGAUUCCUAUGAUAUGUAAGAAGUUAGAUUUGUUCAGUGUUGAACCAAAGUGGGUGGGGAGCCAAAGGGGAAUUCUAGAAAGAAAACAAUAAUCUAAUGUCUAGUUUCUCUAUUAUUUUCACCAGUUCCUGUACGUGCUAUGAAUAUGGGUAGACAUCAACAUUCUUUUUACCCUGUUGCUAUUAUUUAGCACAUUUAUUUAACCAUGCCAUUGACUUUCUGGGUGCAUUAAAGUGGAACCCAAGUGAUUAUUAGAUAAUGAUGGCAUUUAGACUAAGUGCCAUAUUCCUAAUGUUCCAAUAAGUGGUUGAUAUAGGGGGGACAGGAUACAAUGCCACACUAUCUAAUUAUAUUAAAAGAGCUGGUCUCCAUGUUAUGGAAUGCCUUCAUUACAGGAGAUUACAUGAUAUCUCUGCACCACUGAGUGGCCACCCAACAUGUUUUCCUGAAAGAAGGAUGGAUUUUCAGAUUCAUUUAUGCUCUCAUGCC